RNAcentral lists this long non-coding RNA (921 nucleotides) under Sus scrofa (pig). RNAcentral describes it as "lncRNA (ENSSSCG00060065864.1)". The record is from RNAcentral. Lineage: Eukaryota; Metazoa; Chordata; Mammalia; Artiodactyla; Suidae.
AGAGAGACCCCAGCAGCAGCAGCAGCUGAUGAUGAAGAGAGAGGCAGUGGCAGAGGGGGGGCACCUUUUAUUUCUAUUUUUAAAGGGACAGGACACUAAUUUUACCCCACUUCAACCUUGAAUUGAGGGGGGUGGGGGGAAGGCGGCUGAGUUCCUUCCCCCACCCUCCAGCCCUGAGACCUGAGAGGGGGAUUGAGCCUGAGAAAGAAGGAGAAGGAGUUUCUUCUUCUUCCAAACCCCCCCAUCCACGACUCCUACCCCCUCACCCCUCCACUAGCCUCCCUCCCGAGCCCUCUCCAUCCUCCUCCUCUUUGGCCGUGAGAGGAGAGAAAGAGACCAAAAGCCUCUUAGCAACACAGACCCUUCUCUGCUGCUGCUGCUGCUGCUGUUGCUGUUGCUGCUGCUGUUGCUGCUGCUGCUGCUGCUGCUACUGCUGCUUGGCCCUGGCUGGAGACAUCUCACUACACCCAGGAGCAGCCACUUCCCCAGCUCUCCUCCUCCUUCGCCUCCUCCUCCUCCUCCACUCCCCCCCUCUUUAUUACCCUUUGUGUCAUCCUCCACAGCUCCAGGGAAGGCACUCAAAAGUGGGGGGCAGGAAAGGAUGCCACCACCUUCCUGUGACAUGCCUACCUUGAAACUUCAUCUUUAUAUUGGGAUUAUAAAGUUCUACCCAACCAGAAUUUAAAUAUUCCAAAAACAAAGACAUAAAACAAAAGAUGCUUAUUGAGGAUAUCAUUUUCUGUGUGUGGGAAUUAGAUACUGAAGGUUACAUGGUUUACAGACAAGAUCUUUAAAAAGAGACAUUCAAGGACCAAGGAAAUAAAUACCAGAAACCAAGAGCACAGAGUAUUUUCCUUCAUCAAUCCAUAGACUCUUCUCUAGUUUAAUCAAACACAAAAGAAUGACCACCUUGGCAAAUGG